Molecule: non-coding RNA, 46 nt
Organism: Glossina pallidipes
Lineage: Eukaryota; Metazoa; Arthropoda; Insecta; Diptera; Glossinidae
Source: Rfam
AUAAUGGUCCUUUUUAGGACCAUUCCUAGAUUGUAUUUAUUAAUGG